AGGAAAUGAUAUCAGAGAGGUUGAAGAAGAGGUCAAGAAGAUUGCCAGUGAGAUCAAUACGAAAUAUGGUAAACCGGGGUAUGAACCGAUUGUCUGUAUUAACGGUCCAGUUUCUACGCAGGACAAGAUAGCUCACUAUGCGAUUUCUGAGUGUGUUGUUGUUAAUGCUGUUAGAGAUGGAAUGAAUUUGGUGCCUUAUGAGUAUACAGUCUCUAGGGAGAGCAACAGUAAUUUGGAUAAGGCCUUGGGUCCAGGUUUUAAUGGAGGACGACGAAAGAGUAUGAU
This 285-nucleotide unclassified non-coding RNA is filed under the name Hevea brasiliensis (rubber tree). The record is from RNAcentral. Lineage: Eukaryota; Viridiplantae; Streptophyta; Magnoliopsida; Malpighiales; Euphorbiaceae.